Rhipicephalus sanguineus (brown dog tick) is the source of this 3172-nucleotide long non-coding RNA. RefSeq lists it as uncharacterized. Lineage: Eukaryota; Metazoa; Arthropoda; Arachnida; Ixodida; Ixodidae. The transcript is spliced from 4 exons. The record is from RefSeq and is a predicted model, not a curated record.
ACGUACGUCUGUGACAUUCAUUUUGAGCCUGUAGGCAUCAUAAGCUGCUAUGAGCACACCGUGAACGGUCAAACCGUAACGAUACCGCGAGGCAGGUGGACACCGAGGGAGCGCGCUGUGCCUCGAAUUUUUCCGAACGUACCUAAGCAUCUCUCGAAACCAACGGUGCCGAAGUCAACAAGAAAACCACCCAAAAUGAGGACAGUGGUUCUCGCCCAAGUUGCUUCCUGCCAAAGUGAUGAAGAUUUGUACGACGAAAUAGGCGCAUGUGACGGCAUGGAUGUUGAUGAAUGCACCGAUGUGAGCACGCUAGGAACUGCGCCCUGGCUUGCUGUUGUGCAAGGCAGCCCGACAUUUGAUUCAUGGAAUGUGUGGGAUUCUACCAUCCAAGUUAUCUUGUACAAACUCGAAGAGUCUGGGGGCGUUGUGUACAUUGAAAAGGCCGUUGUAAUCCGGGAAGACUUGGCGGUUGAAGUUAGUUCAAGAGGUGUGCUUGUCCCGCCGUGCAGCUACAUCUAGAAAGAUGGAAACAUUCCGACGCGGCUAACAAGCCAGAAGAAUUUAACAAUGCUCCUUCGCUACACCGAUGCGCUCAAUAUUUGCACUGGGUGUAAAUGUGAGCUGUUUCCAGGUGUUUCAUCGUGAACGACAGCCGUGAAAAGGCAGGGUGCAUGGCGAAACAAGAAAUGCAUGGUGCUGUCAGGUGAGCAUUUGUGCCCUCCAUGCAAAAAAACAAAAAAAACUUUGGUAAUAGAAUGAAGCAUCGCCCUAAAAAAAGCACAAACCGGAAGCCUGAAUAUGAAAUUCAAAACCUAAAGAAAAAGGCCAUCAGGGCCACUGUGUUUCGCGAAAGAGCUAGAAGAGAAGUGUCUACACUGAGACGCCGUUUGUCUAAAGUUUCAUUGAGCAAAGUUGACAAAGCACUGGAAAGUCUUCCGCAAGCACAGCCACUUGCCUUUAAUUCAGCAUAGAAACCCGCAAAGGCAAAAUCGCCGCGAUGAAGGCGUUAUGAACAGGAAUGGCUCAUGACUUGUCUUCUAUUAGGAAUUUCAAGCCCAAGAGCUUAUAGACUAAUGUCAAACAUGAAGCUUAUGCCACUUCCAACCACCACGAGGCUGAGACAAAUGAUGAAAGGAAUGCCAUGUGAAUUCGGCUUCAACAAGGUAUCUCUUGACAGUGGGGUCUUUAUGAAGAACAAAGCAGGAGUACAAUGCUACGGAACGCUAAUACUGGACGAGAUGAAGGUGCGAGAGGUUGUCGCAUUUAACAAGAGUACCUACAAGGUGGAUGGCUUCGUUGAUUAUGGAGAUGGUCAUGCCUCAGAAACAACAGCCGACCACGCUUUGGUACUCAUGUUUGUGCGUCUGUUUCACUCCUUGGUGCAACCAAUGGCAAGUUUUGCUACGAGACAUGCAGCUCCUGGAAGAGUGCUAGCAAGGCUUCCUUUAGAAGCCAUUUUGCAAUUACACAAGUACAAUGCAACUGUCGUCACUGUUAUCAGUGAUGGUGCCAGCACCAACAAGGCCAUGUGGUCAAGUUUUGGCAUCAAAGCCAAGCUUUAUCAACCGAAACACAAAGUUGACCAUCCUUGUGUACCUGAUCAGCAGCUCUACUUCCUGUGUGAUGUACCUCAUAUCAUCAAAUGCAUAAGGAACCAUCUCAUGCGUCACAAGUAUGGCAUGGUAAGUAGAUUAGAAUGUUUUACUCAUUUUUCAUGCUUGAGCAACUCUGAUUUAGGGAGUGGCUUCUGCAGUGGAACACCUUUCUUCGGCUCACUGUUGUUUUUAAAAACUGCAUAUCGGGGAACAAAAAAUAAACUUUGAUCACUGGUGAAGACUCCAAGAAGUAGAUGGGAAACAGCAGCUUCGGGUGGUUCAGAAAUUGACAAACGAGCAUGUGAGCCCAGACAACCUGCGAAAGAUGAACGGGAGUCUGGCUGUACAGCUUUUCAGCCGAAGCGCUGCCAUUGGGUUAAAGGUAUACCAGCGGUUAGAGGAGCCUGACCUGAAAGACUGCCAUGGAACUGCUCAGUUCACCCUCAUGGUGAACGACCUGUUCGAUGCCCUGAAUGUGAAGCUUCCACGGUUUGGAAUAACAAGUUCGUCAAAGGAAGUUGAAGUCAUGCAGGAGUUACUUGAUGCUGUAAAUAAGACCGAGGAAAACCAUAUCACCAAUGGGACAGUGAUGUUUGCAUCGCAAUUUACAAUGGAGUCGCUUCGAGUUACGCUUGCAUCAGUACGGGACCUUGUAAGAGAUCUCUCUAAAGGAGCGCGUUAUGUGCUCACGGGCAAACUAAACCAGGAUCCUUUAGAGAGGUUUUUUGGUGUGACAAGAAGUUAUGAAGGGGCAUGAAGAUCACCCUACCCUAAUCAGCUUUGCACACAUAUAUAGGCUUCUGAACCUGUAUACACCAAUCAGCACUUGUGUCACUGGGAACGUGAGUGAUGAGCAGGCUUUUGUGCUUGCCACAGUCGCAGACAGCAUGAAAAGGGAAAGAAAUGACACACUCUCAUCCCAUGAAAGACUCCGGGAGGGUGUUCGAGCAAAGUUGGCAGAAAUCUCUUCUACUGCACAGAAUGAAACACCGACAGCACCUGAUCAUGGGUACUCCACACCACCAGCACAGGACUGUGUUAUUUACUACUUGUGUGGCUAUCUUGUCCACUCUUACCUCAAGCACGAGAGGUGUUCUGACUGUGUACGUAGUAUCCAGUCUGAAAAUGCGGAGUGCCCAGAGGCAUUUCUCACUUUGGAGAGGGAAUUUAAGCACGGGUGCCUAAAAUUGCCAUCAUGGGAGCUCUUCUCUAGGUUUCGAGGCAUCGAAGCCAAAAUUUCGGAUGAGCUACAAAAGAAGCGGCUCUGCUCAGACACAGUUUGGUGCGUUCUCGACGCUCUUGGGGAUUGUGACAUUACUAGUGUGGGCUGUUCUGUUCACAAGGUAACCACUACGGCAGAGCUCCUUCACUCCUACAUAGUGCUAAAGACUGCAUUUCGCUGCCAGAGAUACUUGUAAAAGCUUUAGCUCUUCAGAAAAAGUCGCAUCUGCUAGAAAGAAAGUGAAGCUAACGUGAAGGCUUGCAGUACAGCUCUGUCACCGUAACCCUUGUAAAUAUGUCCCUGUAAAUAUUGUAGCUGCUGCAUUCAGUUUCAUGGCAUCAAAUAAAAGUUACAA